CAGGCAUAGGAAUUGUAUGCUAAGUUGCUUCUUCCCCAUCCUGGCCAGCUGAUGGGUAAAAGUUGGCUUUUAUACUGGGGGUAAGGAAGAAGCAACACUUACCUUUUGGGAUAUGGAGGUAAGUUGCCCCUUAUUAGGAUAUUACUUGGUAACACUAAUACAUAUCAGUUUUAAUACACCACUCUCGCAGCCGCUGUAGCUUAGAAAACUUUUUAACGAACAAUUAAGCAUGCUGUUUUCAUCCAAAAUGUUCUCUUUGGAUCUAUUGAAACUCACAUCCCUGAAAAACAUAAAGAGUCCUAAGGUUUCUUAUAAUCACCAAACUGGAAUUUCUGUUCAUUGAAUAGGUUCCUGCCACCUAAGCUGAUCCUAGUUCAUUUUUUGUUUUUCCUUCUCCAAUUGUUUUCAAAUAACAAAUAUUGUGAUUGAAAUAAUGUUGAGUGUAACAGAGUAAUCCAUAUUUAUAGAAUUCAUGUGCCUUUGUUUACAAACAGAAAAUGAAUUUGGGAGUUCCCAGUGGAUUUCAGGGACCUCUUGUACUUGAUAUUUUGUCUAAAGGGUUAUUUAGUGAUAUCAGUUAUUUAGUUAUUGUUAAUUUAGUUUGCUUCAUGGCUUCUGAUUCAUUCUGAACUUGCAAGACUGUUGAAGACCCAAGACUUGUUGUAGAAUGUGAAGCAGGAUCCAUUUCUCUGCAUUGCUGAUGAACAGAGCAGGGGGGGAGCCUGUGAUAUAAACACAGAGUAACCUAAUUAUUAUGUGGCCAUUGCCCUGAAACAUAUAAUUAUUGGAACAGCAGCAAAAAGGAAGUAGAAGGGGAAACUCUAAGACUGGGACGAGGACAUUGCUGGGCUUUGUCCUACAGUUUCUAUAAUUCCUUACCAUUGGGCCAUGUUAGCUUGGACUGAUGGAAGUUAUGGCACAAUAGCUUCAGGGGACUCGGCUACAUAGGUAAAGAAAAUGCUUUAUAUACAUUGUAACACUGUAACACCAGAUGGCGCUGCGGAGUCCCGUCUUUCGCCAACUGGAUUUCCCUUUAUGAAGUUUACAACGCGUUUAACUGAGUCGUUUUUUUGAUAUGUCUAGAUCCAGCCAGGGUCUUUUAAUGGCAGUUUAAAGGCUUCUUGUACUGUAAGCUUCCAUAAGCUACAGUCCAAAGUAGGCUUGAAGUGGACUCUAGUUCACAAAAGCUUGUGCAACAACAAAUCUGCAUAGGAGGCGCACGAGGGAGGGGGGGUGGUGCCAUCCAAACUGUAAGGCAUGUUGUGGGAGCUUCUUUUUGGCAGAGCUUCCCCAACCUCACCUCGCCCAACCUCCACGCUGGCAAACACAGUCCUACCACCAAGAGGAAGCCAUUUCUGCUCCACCCUCUCUCACCUGCCACUGCUGGUUAGCCGAAGUUAGAGCCCAGUGACUUAGGUGUCAUGGAUUUCUGUGGGAACUGUGUUCAACAACUAAGCCCAGAUCCAACAUUUUAAGGUGCCACAAGACUCUGUUGUUUUUCUACAACCAUUUCACUCAGCUUUCAUGCUCAUGAUGCUUUGCGCCACCACUCACUUUAAUCACCUAUAGCACUAAAAGUUCUUUGUCAGAGUUAGUGGAUGGAAAGGAGGAUUUUGGAUUUUGGCAAACACAGGAUGGAACCCUUCUGUAUAUUACUGAAAUGCCCCUUGCUAAUAAAGGUAAAAGGUAAAGGACCCCUGGACAGUUAAGUCCAGUCAAAGGCGACUAUGGGGUUGCUGCGCUCAUCUCGCUUUCAGGUCGAGGGAGCCGGCGUUUGUCCACAGACAACUUUCCAGGUCAUGUGGCUAGCAUGAUUAACCGCUUCUGGCACAACAGACCACCGUGACAGAAGCCAGAGUGCACGGAAACGCUGUUUACCUUCAUGGUACCUAUUUAUCUACUUGCACUGGUAUGCUUUCAAACUGCUAGGUUGGCAGGAGCUGGGACAGAGCAACGGGAGCUUGCCCCAUCUUGGGGAUUUGAACCGCCGACCUUCUGAUUGGCAAGCCCAAGAGGCUCAGUGGUUUAGACCACAGCACUAUCUGCAUCCCUUGCUAAUAAAGGUGCUUGGUACCCUCCAUGUAGUAACCCAUAUGUGGUUUUCUCCUAAACCCUCUCAGCAUGUUGAAGUGGCCACACACUUUACAAGUAUUUCUGUCCUCCACCGCAGAUCUCCUUUGCUAUUCCUGUGAGCUGCAAUUAAUAAGUCAGAAACCAGAGCUCUUUCAAACUGUCCGUAGCCCUUCUCCUUCCUUGGGUAGGCUAUAUUAGAGCAGUACAGUACCAGGAAACAGGGAGUGGUUCAAGGCCUGAAUUCUAUUUUUAAAGCUUAAACUUCUUCCAGAUACUAUAAAAGAACCAAGGGCACCGUUAGAUGUGCUUCAAGAAGCUCUUAUUGAAAUUAUUACAUAUAUUUCAGUCUGGGGUCAGGACCUUGAGUAGCUGGUAUUCUCACGAAAAGGUCAGUCCCCAGAAUGGAUUAGUCCCUGAAUGCAAUAUUGCUACAAAUGUCUAGCAAUAUUAAUGAGAAGCUGGAAUGCUAUUGUCUACCUUUGCUUAUUCUGCAAAGGGUGCUUUCCAGAAGUAGCAGGGGAGGUAGAGUAGGCAAGGAAGAGUUGUGGUUUGUUAUUGAUUUUGAUUCUGCAACUCAAGUGCUUUGUUGGAUUGUCUUACUGAUUAUAGGCAGUAACAAGCAGAUGAUUUGAGCAUAUUAUUGUUUUAAAGAAUAAUUCAUUUUUUCCCUACAUGGCUCCCUCUAUAGUCAGUGCUGGAUUUAUGUAUCGGCUAAGAAGGCUGAAGCCUAGGGCCUCUAAAUCUAGGGGGCCUUGCCAUGCCUCCCACUCCCCAGUGCCGCAGUCUCCCCUCUCCCAAAAUUGUAAACCCAAGACUUCAUGCAAGGGCAGGUCAACUCAGGCCCCACAACUAUGAGACUCGGGGCUAGCCAGUGGGGCCCAAUUUGAAGCAAGCUUGGGCUUCACUCAAAUUUGUUUAUAACACUCUUCCAUUUUCUUCUAGUUGUGAGGGUGGGGGUGGGGAGGGGCCUCACAAGUGGAGUAGGGCCUUUCUUCAUCUAAAUCCGGCCCUGGCAGCAUGUCCCUGUGCUUGUUUAUAUUGUUGACAUCUGUCUUGAGAGACAAUGGAGUGUGUCUCCAGGGGUGAAGUCAAGCCACUGCACUUGGCAGUGCUGAAGUGAUCUCCCCAGAGCACAAGCCUAGGCAGUGUGUAUGGAGGUCCUGGGAUGUCCAGGCGGCAAGACCCCACCCUUGGCCUUUGCGGUCCAAAGGAAAGCAGAGUAAUCCAGCUUGGCUGCAGGAGUUGGCAGAAGGAGGCAAACAAGGCACCAUGAUUGUCUUAGGGAACCCACACCAGAUUUGCGUAGGGUUCACGCCUUAGCCUUUUCUUCUUCCAAAGAUAUCCUGCUGUACAUAUAUGCCUGUAAAUAUAUGCCUGUAAAUAUAUGGCAUUUUGCAUCACAUUCAAUAUGGGUACACACUAAAGUAAGAACAAAGUAUGAAGCAGUCCAGAGUUCUGCGUAACUCAGAACUGAAAUGAGCUUGCAAGCUGUCAUACUAACAGCUGCUGGUGCAAUAAAAAAAUAUCACCUUACCAAUUCUAUGCUCUUUAUUUUCGGGGGCCAACAGUGGUAUCGAACAACUGUUUGCUAAACCUCCUAUCAAGUCACAGCUGUUUGAUCUAUUGGAAGCUCGUAAUGAAAGAUCCUAUUACCUGAAUUGAUUAUAUGCUGUCAUACUCUAAUUUAGCCUUGGUUGUUUGUAUGUAAACUCAGAUUCAAUUUAGCAGACUAAAUUCAAGGCAAAGUCUAUGAAAGCUGAACAGAAGUUAGUCCAGUAAAAGAUAUCACCUUACCAUCUCCGGCUGUGAUUUUGAAAACACCCUGCUAGAAUAAAUUGCAUUGCAUUCAACAGCUUUCAGUCCUUCUCUCUCCCCCGAUUCCUUUCUCUUCGCACCCACAAAAACACAUAGACUAACAACAACACAAUAUCAUGCAUGGUCAUGUGAAACUACAAGCAUCUAUUUUUAAGGCAAUAUUUCAAAGUCAACCCAAAAUGAUAUGGAAUUUUAGGCACUCAGAAUGAAGUUCCACUGUAUCCAAUGGAACUUAUGGUACUCCAAAGCAAGUUUUCAUGGAUAGGAUUGCAUCAUCAAUUCACAGAACUCUGGGCUAUUUUGUACGUUCUUCUGUUAUCAAUUUUUAUUCAUUUUUUUAAAAAUGUGAGCAUUGUGACUAAGUUCUGCUGAAUUUCAAUACUCUCUGUUUACAUUAUAAAAAAUGCUACCUUGAGGAUUAUGAUGGAAAGGAAGGGCAGAGAUCUUUGGACUGAUAUAGAAAUAAAUAAUAAUAAACAGAAUAUUAAGGAGAGGAAAGACCCUGGCCAUUUGCCUCUUGUGUGUUGUGCCCUCUUCAUAAGAUAAGAGGAGGAUAUAAUUGAAGGUGUACUUUACAGCUUUGCUCAAUGACCCUGUUUAUGAAGAGGAAGAAGACAUGAAUUUGGAGCAGCUUCUCUCUAACCUUGUUCACUGGUCAAGCCAACACCCCCCCCCCAAAAAAAUAAUUAUGCUGGCAAAAAGAAUUAGACAAAUUUGCUGGCAAAAAGAAUUAGACAAAUAUACAUGGGCUGAGGAGAAAGUUCAGGCAUCAAAAAUGUAUUGAGGAAAUGUUUGACAUGGAGGAUUAGUUUGAUGAUACAUGAUAGGGCGGGAGCUGAAUUUUCAAACCGUUGCAAAUUUGACUUGUAUUUGGGAGGGAAGGUAUGGGGGAGGAUAAAGGCAAGAGGAAACUGCCUCCCCUCUUGAAUGUUUGAAGUAGGACUGCGUGUGAUCUGUUUAGCUGGUGACCACCCUUGCCAAUCUCUGAGGCUGGGAUGACAAGAAGCAAUCUGGGGAGGAUAAUAUUCUGAUGAGUUCCAGUGAGUCAGCCCAUGAAAACUGUACAAUCCCGCACAUGAAAAUAGCUCCCACUUAAUUUUGGAACCUGUAAAUGGAGCUGUAAAAUUAGAGGAGGCUUCUCUGCAACAUUUCUGCAUUUUAUUUGCAAACUUCAUAACUCUUUUGCAACCAUUGAUCUAAACCAAUUCCCAAUUAGCUAAUUACUGAGGACCCCCUAUCUUUCAAAAGCCAAGCCACAGAAUUCCAACUUUUGAUAAUUUUGAUAACUCUAUGGUAGUUACCUCUGCAAAGACAUUUUUUGAACAAAAUGUGGGGUAGCCCCUAAUUUGCAAAGGAUGUUAGGUAUACUAUAAAAAAACCCCACCAAACCACAGACUAGCACUGAGUGAUAUCUGGUUUUCAACAUUGUGAUGUAUCAGUAGCUAAACAUCACAAUAUUCUGAUAUAUCACAAUGUCUGAAACUGAAGAUCAUGCAUGGGGAUGAGGGAAGGAACAGUCAUGGAGUGGGGUUUGUGCAGAUGAGGGAAGGAACAGAUGGGUGGGGUUCGUGCAGAUCAGGUGUGGGGAUUAGGGCUGGGCGAUGUCAGGUUUUCAACAUCACGGGGUAUCACCAGCCAAACAUUACGGUUUGGCGGUAUACCACAAUGUUGAAAUAAGCUGCAUUGGCUCCAGCCCAUGAGCUGAUGCACUUUCAACCCAGCGCCUCAUAGGCUGGGGCCAAUGCAGCUGGCCCUGGCCUGCUGCCCAGUGGGGGUGAGGGAAGACCCUUGCCCUCCAGCUCAGCGAGCCCCAAUAACCCUGCAUGGUUGUGACAGGCAUAUCAGGGCUACUUUCUGAGGCACAGUGCUAAAACAGACCAUAAAACUUGUGAUAUUACCAUGCAAAAAUGACCAAAAAAAAAAUAGUUGGGAGGGAGAGGGAUGGGCCCGUGGACCCCCUGGGUGCAUUCUGCAGACCCCCAGGGGUCCCCGGACCCCUAAUUGGGAACCACCAAUCUAAACAAAUAAGCUUCUACAUCUUAUGUGCUUACAUAAGAUAAAGAUGAGAUAAAGAUUACUGCUGCUUCCUCUUGUGAUCCUUUACAAGCAUGGGGUUUGGGGUGCACUACACACUACAAGUCUUCAAUGGAAGGGGCAGCCUCGCUUGCACUCCUCUUCCUUGUACUGAGCAGGAAGAACCAGGCAAAGCUUAUUUACACAGAAUCGCCCCUUUCCAACAAGGCAUUCUGUACUGAGCUAUAUCAAUAUUUCAAAUGCUGUUAUAUACCACCUAUUCAAAAGCAUGAAAGUGUUGCUGAUCUGUUAAGAAUGGUUCAAGUAGUUAUUGUGAGAAAAGUUGUGGUCUGUCUCAAUAGCCAUUCCCAUUUUGUCAGUGAAGGGUUAGAAUAUUUGGCAUUUUCUUAUUGUUAGUAAGUGUCGUUUUCAUUCUUUGCCUUACGGCUUUGUUUAGCCUUAACAGAGAAUUCUCUAAAAUGCAUUUCAUCUUUCUAAUGUCUAUAGUAAGUUCAAAGGAAAAACAUUUCUGCAAGUCAAACAGAAUAUACCAUCUUGGAAAAGUUCAGCCCAGUUUAUUUAUUUUCAGCAAUUUUGUCUGAGGAAACUCCUCCUCUAAAAAAACAAAAAAACACUUUCCAAGAAACAAAAGCAAUGUAACAUUUAAUAAUAAUAAUAAUAAUAAUAAAUUUUAUUUAUAUCCCGCCCUCCCCAGCCAAAGCCAGGCUCAGGGCGGCUAACAACAAACAAAUAAUCAAACAAUCAAAUAAUCAACAUUCUAAAAACAUUUCAUUAUAAAAUUAAUUAAAAUCAAAUUAAUGGCAACCGUUAAGCAAAGUUCUGUGCAGGUUGCCGGAGGUGGGAGUCAGGCUGGGCCCUGACCAAAGGCCUGGUGGAACAACUCUGUCUUGCAGGCCCUGCGGAAAGAUGUCAGGUCCCGCAGGGCCCUAGUCUCUUGUGACAGAGCGUUCCACCAGAUUGGAGCCGCAGCCGAGAAAGCCCUGGCUCUAGUUCCCAUGCUGAGGGCUAAGAGGUAUGGAACUCCUGAAAUAAUAAUUAGGAAUUAAGAUGAAUUAAUCUAAAGAUUCACUAGACAGGAAGAACACAUUCUCUAAGCAUGUCUACUUAGAAGUAAAUGUCAUUGACUUCAGUUAGGCUUAUUCCCACGGUAAACGAUUGAAGCCUGAAUCUAAAUGCAUUGAGUCCAUGGAUUAUUAAAUCAUUAUAGUAUUUUAUAAUGCUUUCCAGUGACAUUGUGAGAGUUUCUGUGGCCAUACCUUCCCAUUAUAGAACUGGCAGGGGAGCCAACUUGAAAAAAUAUUGGGGGGGGGGGAGGUAAGCCCCGCCCUGCAUAAUCGAUCACAACACCAUCUGAAUCGCAAUGCCCAUCAACUUUGUGGGGGACAGCUCCCUCAAAUAUUUUAUUGGUGGGGUGAAAGGACCUCAGCCUCUAGCACUUGGCUCCUAUGACUGGCAUACAUACAGAAUACAUAAGAAUUUGGAGUUAAUGCAUAGCCUCUUCUAGGAAACCAGAUGUUAAAUGGUGAAAGCAUAUUUCCAUGACAUAAUUGUUUGGAAUUCCCUUUUUCCUCAGUGAAGAAGGAGCAGAAGAAAGUGCAACUCUUCUUAGCAUGUUUAGAGCUAUAACUUGAAGUACAGUUAGUCGUCAGAGUCUUUCGAAAGGACAAAGGCCAGGGAUGGGGAAGUUGUGGUCCUCCAGAUGUUGCUGGACUCCAACUCCCAUCAGCCUUUGCCCUAUCCAACCAAUUCAUUGUCAGGGCUGAUGGGAGAUGUAGUCUAGCAACACAUGUAGGGUCACAGCUUCCCUACCCCUGCUUCAGGCCCACUUCUGCAGAGCACCCAGUCAUCUCCAUGUCCAGCAGCUUCUUCCCCCUUUCCACCUGGUAUCAUGCAUUUCAGAAAAAAGAGGCAGGGAAAGAGAGAGAUAAAUUGGCUUCUGACAGCUGGUUUGUGCUCCAGGGAGCAGCGAUCAAUGAAUCUUUCUUCCCUUGCUGAGCCUGAGAGAUGCCUGGCUAGGGUGUGCGUAAAUCAUUAAUUGUGGCUUCCGUUGGGCUCAGCAUUUUCUUGAAUGCUCCUGCUAGGAGACAUAUUUAUAUGGCAGCUUCUUUAGAUUCCUAGAAGGAACUGGGAGGAUAUUGGUGAUGUUUAUAAGCGAAGUUAAAAGGUGGUGAUUUAUCUGUAGAAACACUUUGAUAAUUAAGCACACUUUUUUGCACAGUUGCGUGGCUCAUAUCUCUCUUAUUUGUUGCUUUUUACACCAGUUGUCUCAAAGCAACUUAUGUAUUAAAAAAAUAGAGAUAAGAAAAAGCAUUAAAAGCAAAUCUAAAGCAAGACCUAAAGUACUCAUCCAAAUUUAUAGGGCCAGAUUCAGCUAAAUAGCUCCUACUACUGCAAUGUGUUCUGCUAGUACGACUGGACUUUCCCCUACUUCCUUCCCCUGUGAGCUCACCAUGUCCCCCCACAUGUCUGUGGGAUCAGGAGAUUCCCCCCUCCCCGAACAGCCUGCAGUGGGGAGAGGAAGGAUCAUUCUCUCUGGAAAGCUAAAAUGCUUGUGCUGGUACAGUGGUACCUCAGGUUAAGUACUUAAUUCAGUCCAGAGGUCCGUACUUAACCUGAAACUGUUCUUUGUCAUGGCUAAAAUGGCCGCUGUUUCUUUAAUGGAAAUAAAGCUGGGUCAGCAUGAGUCAGCAGCCGGCACCAGGUUGUAUAUAUAGAGUGAGAAAUGUUAGUUUGGUGCUGGUGCUGGGGUUGGUUGGUUAGUGAAAGCUGGUAGUGGUGAUGUAUGUAUAGUUAGUCAGUCGCUUUUGCACAAAGACUUUUAAGAAUAAAACUCUGCAAGGAUAUUCUCGUGGACUCUUUUAUGCCGACAAGGGUCCGAGGACCAGGCUGAGGAGACAAAGGGAGGUCAGAACCUUUUCCUCCUUUUUUGCUUUUUACAAACACUGGCAUUCUUAACCUGAAGCACCACUUUAGCUAAUGGGGCCUCCUGCUGCCGCCGCGUCGCCGGAGCCCAAUUUCUGUUCUUAUCCUGAAGCAAAGUUCUUAACCUGAAGCACUAUUUCUAGGUUAGCGGAGUGGGUAACCUGAGGCAUAUGUAACCUGAAGCGUAUGUAACCCGAGGUACCACUGUAUAAUGAUUCUAAUAGCAGAACAUUCAAUUGCACCCAUAUUAUUUAUACUCAGUCUGUUGGUGAAAUCCAUGGCACCCUUUUAUACUAUAGGUCAGGGGUUGGCAAACUGUGUCCCUCUGGGUUGAUGGACUCCGACUCCCAUCAGACUCAGCCAGCAUUGUCUGGGUUGAUGAGAACUGCCCAUCACUGCCGUAGGUUACAUUUUGUAUUUUUACUUUGGCUGUGGUCUUGGAAAAACGCUCAAGAGAAAUGAAUUGGGCUUACGUUCAAAGAAAUCAGCUUAGGAACGAAUGCCAGCAAAUUGUGUCAAUAGGAUACAUGCUGCUGUCCAUUAAAGGAAGAUCUGUAAUGCAACUGUAGUCCAUUUUAUUUACCUUGGAAUAAACUGAAGUGUGCCCAAUAUGUGAUAAACGAUUAUCUGCGAAAGUGCUAUAUCAAGUUGCAAAAGAAAAACCCAGCCUAAAAGAACAGCUUUGUUGAGCUUGGAUGUUCUGUUUGGUGGAAGCUCUCCAUGCCUGUUCUACUAAACCAAAAACAUCUAAAGGUUAAUAGUGUGCUGCUAAAUAGUGCACUGCUAAAUAUCUGCCCAGCAGGUGUCUGCAGACAUCAGUGAUGGGAACUGCUUCUAAAGAUGCCUUGGAAUUCACAGGGUUAGCUGGCGCUGUGAAAUAAAUGCCCUGCCUCCCAGGAAUGCUGUGAAAGUGAAACUUAACUUGAAUACUUAGGUUCGCAGCCCUUGCUUGGAUCAGCUCUUAGGAAGGCCCUUACACCAGGCAAACAUUCAUAGUGGAAAUAGGAAAUAUGCCUGUAGAUUUCCUAUUGGAUGAAGCCUUUAUUUGGUUGUGCUGUGCAGAGGGAGUUGGUUUUUGCUCAAUCGCUUUUCAAACUAUUGCCUGCAAUGGAAAAGGAGCACUUUUUUCAACACUUCUUACCAUGAACUGCUAGAUAGUCAUAUACUCCUGUUCCUUUCCUGAUUUCCUGUGUUUGCUGGGGCUUGCUAUUUCUGCACUUUCCAGAGGAGUCAGCAUGGCCUGCUAAAUCAAACUGAGAUUGCAAUGUGUUUAAGAUACCUAACUCCUCAGUCUCUGAUUCUUCAUGUGUUUUCUUUGGUUUGAAUGAAGAUUGUAGUGCUUCGAAUGUGUGUGUGUGUAACCCCUAUGAAUUAUGCAGUCCCAAUAAAUUAUUCACUUGCAUCUUUUCUCUGGUUUGCUGUUGGCUUGGCAUAGCUCCCAACCACCACUGUAGAAUUAUCGGGUCUUCUUCUUCCUGGGAAUCAUUACAUGGACAAUCCCAGCUAACCAGGGAUCCCAGAAUGAACUAGAUGAUGUCAUGAAUCUAUGUUACCAAUCAGACUUGGGCAUGUGACAACAUUUGCUCCGGAUACAUGGAGCCAAUUCAGAGUGGGGGCAUUGUAUUAUUACCUGAGCAGUAGCCAGGACUCUAGUACAGAGGGAUAGAACCAGCGAGAUCAGGAAGACAAGCAGCACAGGACACAGAUAUUCCAGGACCAGACACAGAGCCUUAGCUGCAGCCAGUCAGCCAGGACCUGCCUCAAACUGUUAGGGGGCUCUUUGCCCUUCGGGAAUGGGGUGGAGCCUGGAAAGGAUAGUUUAGCCCAGGGGGAAGUACCCCUGGGCUCAGCCCUAAUGUGCAGAACUUGGAGGGAGCAGGAGCUGGGAUUCCUAGUAUAUAAUCUGUACCCAUGUUAUAUACUGUAAGUUAUGUUAGGAACUGCCUUGCAAAACUAUUUUAAAUUUGUGUGAAAUAAUAAAAGCCACCAGCGUAUACAGAUUGGCAUCUUCUUGUUCCUUAAGCCUACAGGGAUGACUUAAAACAGAUUUAUAAAACCCAUGAAUGUAGCGGGAUUGUACAUUCAGCAGAUUCCUUUUAAUGCAAGGUGCUUUCAUCUUCUACUUUUGAAAGCUGGAGGGUAAACUAAGAAUAACUGGUUCCCCUUCUUUGUUUUAUAAUUCAGGAUCCUUUGAUAACCCUCUCCUUGCUAGCAUCGCUUUAAAGUGAAUGUAUGGCUGCUAUCUUCUGCUACCUUUGUAAAAAAAUCAGCAUAUAUGCUGAGCUCAUAAUAUUGUAAUGAGCAUUUCCCCAUAUAUUUAUGAAUCAGUGUAGCUGGCUAGCUUACUGACACACACUCCACCACCUCCGGUAAAUAUUGCAAUGAUGUAGUUCCGUCACCCCACACUGUAUGUAAUAUUCUUAGCAAGUAAUGGCUACAAAAAAAUGCAUAUAUGAAGGCAAAGUGUACGAAAAAUGCUUAUAAUGUUAAAAAUUACAUAAAAGAGUGCAUUAUAUUGAGGAAAGUAGAAAUAUUAGGGGAAAUACGUUUAUAUUAGGAAAAAGUUUGCACUAAAAUGUUGAUGACUUUGCUUGAGGAAAAAAACACACAAAUUGAUAUGAAAAGGGAAAGAGAAAGAGAGAAAUGAGAAACAGAAGCCAGAAUUAACAGAUUUGGCCAUCCGUGGAGGUGAUACAGUGGUAGUGUCGUUCUGAAGUUUCCAAUAAAUAAACCAAUUUUUGCCCAUUGUAGGAAUGUAGCAAGCUCUCUGAUGCUGACUGGCUGCGGCUCUCUACAGUUUCAGGUAUGGGACCUGCCCGCCCCCACCUGGAAAAACUGCAGGUGGAACCUGGAAUCUUCUAACGCACAGCAGAUGCUUCACCACUAAACUAUUAUCCUUCUCCCAAAUAUCAGAGAUGGCAAGUAUUACUGCUGUGACCCACACGUCAGGCCCACACAAAGAUGUUAAAAUAUAUUUAAACUGACUGUUGGGCUGCCGUCGGUUGCUAGGCAACAAGUGCUUUGUUUAUAAGUCCCCGAAAGAUAACAAGUCUUGCAAAUUCUGUAAGUGCCAGACUUUGGAAAUGGCUCCGUCAAUCUAAGCAGGGCUCCUCCGCCAGCACAAAUAUAUUUCUGGUGUGACCCUCAGUUCUGACACUCCCACUUAAUGGCUGCAGCUGACUUAUGUGGGACUCUGCCUCUUGUUAGGUAGUCAGUCAAUUGCUUUCAGGAGAAUUGAGUGGGAUUUGCAAGAGAUGUUGUACGUGCAUUAUCACUUUUGUGCUGCUGUUUGCCUUUGCUCAGACAUGAUGGGCAGGCUUUGUAAACCAUGCAUGCAACCAAAGAAGGGCGAGAGUACACAAUAGGAGGACUGACGUAUUUAAUUCUCAAGGUGAGGGGAAGCAGUGCCCAUUUCCAGUUGCAUUUGCUGUGAGGGCUGGACAACUUGGGCCUCUAAAUCUAGGUGGUCUCACCAGUCUGCCCUCUCCCCAGUGCCGCAGUCUCCCCUCUCCCAAAAUUGUAAACCCAAGACUUCAUUCAAGGGCAGGGUAACUCAGGCCCAGCAACUAUGAGACUCAGGGCUAGCCAGUGGGGGCCAAUUUGAAGCAGUGGGGUGCAACUUGAAUUUUUUUUUUUGUAGAGCCCCAGUUCACAGCCAAAGUCUGCAAAAUCUUAUAGAUAUAAACACAUGUGUAUAUAUGAAUUAAUAAAAAAUAUUCAAAGUAUAAGCCCAGAUGCAAAACCUUGCACUCACACAGAGAUUUAUUUGUUUAUUUAGAUUUUAGCACAAAUUCCAGGUUCUGGGAAGGCUCUGGAAUAAGUUUCUAAAACAGGACAUAUUAGAGAAGCAGGUUGGCAGAAUUCCUAUGUAUUGGAAAGCAAAGGACUUGCAAAUAUUCUACAUGAGAAAGGAAAUCUGGUAACUGAUUUGCCUUUUGGGAACUAGCUGUCACGACUGUAUGCUAUAAAGCAAUGUAAAAGAUGCCUACAGAGAAAAAUAUAUCAGCACCGAACAUGUGUUUAAAAUUGACUCUUCAUUUAAAUGUGUCUGGAGAUUAACUACUCUCAGUGUAGUGGAAAAUCAUCUCCACUUUCAGAUACUUUAAUGAGGGAAUUUGCUCACAUAGUCGAUCAGGCAAAAAUUUAAAUUCACAUGCAGUCUUCGAAUGCCCAACAUAUCCUAGUAAGAGAUUUGAUCGUAAGACCUCUCUUUUUCAAACUGAGAUGCAUGAUAGGCAGGUAUCCUCUGGUUUAUUUCCACUGAAUAGCUUGAAGACAGCUUAAUUGAACUCAUUAGCAAACCUAGUUUCUAAUUUUAUGCUUUCUGCUGCAAUAAAAAAUCAUUGCAAAGAUUGGGUGAAAUUCUGUCUGCAGAAUGGCAUUUGAUUCAUCAGAAGCAUAUGCUAAUGUUAGAGAAAUGAAGGGUUUUUUAAUUAUUAUCCUCUAUCUCCUCGGCACGGGUGGCGCUGUGGGUUAAACCACAGAGUCUAGGACUUGCCGAUCAGAAGGUCGGCAGUUCGAAUCCCUGCGACGGGGUGAGCUCCCGUUGCUUGGUCCCUGCUCCUGCCAACCUAGCAGUUCAAAAGCACAUCAAAGUGCAAGUAGAUAAAUAGGUACCGCUCUGGCGGGAAGGUAAACGGCGUUUCCAUGUGCUGCUCUGGUUCGCCAGAAGCAGCUUAGUCAUGCUGGCCACAUGACCCAGAAGCUGUACGCCGGCUCCCUCGGCCAAUAAAGCGAGAUGAGCGCCGCAACCCCAGAGUCGGCCACAACUGAACCUAAUGGUCAGGGGUCCCUUUACCUUUACCUUUAUCUCCUCGGCAGCCCCCUAGUGCCAUGCUCCUUACUUUUCUGGAGGUUCCUCCAGUCUUCUGGAACUGAUUUUCAGGGGAUGCAGGGGAAAGGGGAACUGGUGAAAACUGCCUCUCCUUCCCUUACAUUCCUGGGCACUAGGGAUGGUGUUGAAUUUUGCAGUAAUUGAGCUUGCACUCAAGCUGAGCUCUGUUCAAGAGCUUGUGAGCCAAUCAGGUUUCAUGUGAGUAAUAGCAAUAUUUAGAGAUACAAAUCUCUUCAGUCAUGAAAAAAUAAGGACCCAAAAUAAGGUUAUCAAACCAGGCCGUUAUAACUGUGCAUCUGUACAACUGUGUGUUCCCUUCAACUGUGCUUAAUUGAGGACAUGACUGUAGUCAUUAACUGUAAUGGUUACAUUUCUAAUCCUGUCUCCUACCUUGACUGUGUGUAGAGUGGGGAGUAAUGUUUAUAUUAGGACAUGCUGAAUUUUUCAACUUUCAAAUUCCAAAAAGGAUGGGUGCUAAAAAUUUGUAACAUGACUUGGGAAUUCAAAAUAUAUUUUGGUUAAAUUAAUAUAAUUUAGUUUUCCUUGGUAAGUAAAAUUUGUGUAAAAAUGCAUAGAAAUCAUUUAAAAUGAUUGCUAAGUACUUGUAGUUAUGUAUUAUUAUUAUUAUUAAGCAUCACCUGACAUUUUCAGAAGAUAAAAUUAAAAUUCUUGGAUUUUCUGAAAGCAGUUUAUGUGUUUAUUCAUUAAACAUAGACUUAUCAGGCCAAAUGUUGUCUGAUAACAGGAAUAAUAGCAGAUUUUUAAUUCCCCACACCCAAAAACAUAUUUUUAAGACCCCUCACUGAAUAAAUUUUCAAAAAAUAAGUUUCACUCCCGAAAAUGACAUGCCCUAUUAUUGUAUUGGACGUGGGUGGCUCUGUGGAUUAGACCACAGAGCCUAGGACUUGCUGAUCAGAAGGUUGGCGGUUCGAAUCCCCACAACGGGGUGAGCUCCUGUUGCUCGGUCCCUGCUCCUGCCAACCUAGAAGUUUGAAAGCACGUCAAAGUGCAAGUAGAUAAAUAGGUACCGCUCCGGCAGGAAGGUAAACAGCGUUUCUGUGCGCUGCUCUGGUUCGCCAGAAGCGGCUUAGUCCUGCUGGCCACAUGACCCGGAAGCUGUACGCCGGCUCCCUCGGCCAAUAAAGCGAGAUGAGCGCCGCAACCCCAGAGUCGGACACGACUGGACCUAAUGGUCAGAUGUCCCUUUACCUUUAUUAUUGUAUUAUUAUCCAUGAUUCAUUAGAUAAAACCUUUGGUGCAACCUGCAAAUCACUGGUGCCGUUUGACCCUAUUCAUUGAGAAGGGAGUUAUAUAGCUUCACUGAAUAUCCUAUGUUGGAAUUAAUGGAGAUCACACAGCAGCAGUCCAUACCUCCCUUUUACGCCCUACUAUUUAUUCAAUAAAAAGAACUAUUAACUUUCUUUUUGGCAGAGUUCCAGUGAACAGUGAUUCCUCCUGUGAGCAGCCUUAGAUGCCAAAAGAUGAUUUGAAAUUACUGAACCAACUCACAUAAGCCAUGCACCUGGGGCAUCCCAAGGCAAUAGCAGCCAUUCAGAAAGGAUCAGAUCUUGAAAUAAUAUUCCUCACGUAGCCCUUCCUAGACUCUCUCUCUCUCUCUCUCUCUCUCUCUCUCUCUCUGUGUGUGUGUGUGUGUACAUGUGCCAGAGACUUGUGGUGUAAUUGCUGCUCUGAGUUUAAUAAACGCUUUCACUUCGGUAAAUAUACCAGAGAUUUAAAAAUUUCACAAGCAGCUUCAGGGUUACCAUUACAUCUUGUGCACUGUGAUGAUGUGCUGCAGAGCCAAAUGUAGCGCACUCUGCAUCGGCAAAGGAUCUUGUGGCAUUUUAAAGACAAACAUAUUUUGGUCUGCAUUUAAGCUUUGCUUUUGUAGGCAAGGGAGCCCACUUCAUCCGAUUCACAAAGUGAGGCUGAAAGGUCAAGCAAUGCAAAAAGGCACCAGUACGCAGGACUACGCCAAGCACAAAAGUGAAUUCAGAGACCAAUCAAAUGGAUGCAUUGUCCAGUCUGCUUAGGAGCAACCCAUUCCCCACUACUGGUGAUAAAUAGAUGUAGCCAGAUAAAUAGUAUAGAGAGGAGCAAUUAGGUUCUGCAGCCAGCUAGUCAUUCGUAGAGGCCAAAUUCCACAGGGUCAAAUUUGCUAAUUAAUCCCAAUCCAGUGACUUCACCCUGGAGUCUUCCUUUGACACUUCUCUGUUGGUGCCUUGUGUGCCUUUAAGGUCUGCUACAGAAUAUUCUGGGAGACUGAGGGCCAAGCUAGAUGGUAAUAUAUCUGUACCCUUAAGCACAGGUUUUUUUUAACUCAAAUUGUCAGUGUGGAUGGGGCUGGCCCAAGGCAAUUUUUCUGCCUGAGCUGAAGGUCUAGAUGGUGCCCCCACCUGCAUUCCAGACACAGAAACCUGUUGGACCGGCAGUUGAAUCUUAUGUCAAGACUGACAAUGUGUUUGUGUCCUCCAUGCACCUGAGGGUAGCCGGCUAGUUGUGGGAGUCCAGGACAGGUCACGUGGUACUGUACAUAAGCACAUAAGAGCACUUCAUCCUCUAACAGAAGGGAGCACUCAGAAGACCUAGCUGUCAUUGCUGACCCCCAGCAUCUGCUGCCCAAGGUGGUUGUCUCACUUUGCUGGUCCUGAGCGCAGAGGGUCUGACUCAGGGAAGUAGAGGGGCAUUAACCCUUUGCAUUCAGUAUGGUCUCAAUUUUUAAAGGGAUUCCUCCCUGAUACUGAUAUUUGCAUAGGGAUGGGAACACUCACUUACAUUGCAAUCCCUGUUGUUGUCAUGCCCUCCUCCCAAUCCAAAUCAAGAUCAUAGCUGGGGAGAAAGGACUGAAGCCCUCUGCCCCUCAUGCUAGGGACACGAUCAAGAUCAGGCCACCCCAUGCUAGCAAUUUGGAUUGUUGUUGUUUUGAAAAACAGCAACCCUGCCUCAAAGGGCACAGGCGUUGUCUAGUUUGUCCCCAAAGUGCUAUCCCCUGGGCUUUGGCAUGCUGUCCCAGCUAUCCCUAACUGGUGCCUAACUCCAGGUGUUUUGGAAUCCAACUCCCAUCAGCCCCAGCCAGCAUGUGGAAAGCUGGCAAAAGCUGUCCUAAGUUUUUAGUGGUAAUGCUGAGUAUAGUGUCUUCAGAAGAGCUAUUGCUCAAAGUUUAUAUGUGCUGUUUCUAUGUAACAGAAGUUUCUAUGCAAUUUGUUAUCAAGCAGCCAUGCUCCCAUAGGCGGGAUUAGACACAUUCUGGAUAAUUUUUAUGCCCCAGAACUUGCAGUAACUGGGAAAUAAUACGCUUACAAACAAAUCAAACGAGGCAAGUAAAAAUGAUGUCAGCAGCUGUAAUUUCUAAUAGCUGCCAUUUCUUUCUCACACACGUUUUUAAAACAUCAAAAUUUUCCAGAUCGUACAAGACAUUUGACAAGAGCCAUUAACCGAAUCCAAAAUGUAGCCGAGCAGCCCGUGUUUUAAGCCUGUCCUCCUGUGUGCUGCAAGUAUUGCCUGUCCGCUGGAAUAGAGACCUGUCAGUUGAGAUGAGAACAGCUGCAUCAUAAAUCACAUGGCACAGCCUUAGCAGGGACCGGUGUUAACAGGCCUCUGUCACAGAACAAGCCUUUCUUGCCUUGCAAAUAAUCUUCCCGGUGUAGCUUUGAUGUUCAUUUUGAGAAAAUACUUGGCUUUACAUUACGGCUUCUCUGACAGUUGAUUGCCUGGCAGUGCAAUCAACUAUGACGAGUCUUGCUGAGGGCUCUGCUGCCACCACGAGAGUUUCAAACCACUUAUUUUGGCGGAUCUGUUAAACUGCACAGUGGACUGAGUUUAUCAGAGCUCGUGAUGUGCUUGAGUUCAAGAGACUUUUGCAUCCAUAGUUCCUGGCUAGACUCCAAAGAGUGACUUUGGCGCACGCUAGGGCUGAGCAUGAUCUGCGGUAUUUUUGGACUUCUCUUUCUUUAAACAGAGGAUCCAAUGCCAUAUCACAAACUGCUUCUGAAAGUCUCAUCAGGUUCAAAAGUGGUUUGCCAUGUGGUAGCGCUGGGAGGAGAGGGGGAGCAGCUGCUAGAGAAAUGGAAGCCUAGAGCCUCUUUGGACAUAUGGAACAAUUUGAGGACUACUUUGGAUCCCAGUCAAUCUAGUAGAUGAAACUAAGACCCCCAGCUAAAUAUUACAUUAUUCAGACUCCUUCAGGAUUUAGAAAUGAGCGACUGACGAAACGAACUACGAAAUGUUUCAGCAGUGCUAAUUUACUUACUCAGUUGUUGUUUCAUUAAAUGGAAGUUGGCACUGGGCUUAUUUAUCUAUUUGACCCAUUUUUGGCCCAUUGUUCAGCCAAAAAAGCUCCCAGAGAUCAAUAACAGGGCUUUGUUUACCUCAGGUUUACAGUCCACAAGAUUCAGAAGGAAAUUGGACUGUGGGAGGAAGGAGAGGGAAAAACUAAGGCGAGGAGGAGGAGACAAAUUGGGCUGGUCUCUCCACUAAGCCAGUGCAAUGGUUCUGCUUACCUUCUCAACUCCUUUGCUGCAGUCUCGUGGAAUGGCUGCUGCCACAUGGCAACUGAGGGAAGACCUGUGUGGAGCUGGUUUCUCAGCUGAACCAACAGAAUGGCCCUGCUUCCCAUCUCUUCCUCUGGUGCAUGGAAUGGCUGCUUCCAGGUGACAUUUAGGCUUUCCAAAAGGACCACCUGAGACCCUCCUCAGUUGGUUCAAGUAUGGCCUGCCUCUCCCAUUGGUGAAGUCUUACCUGGGCCUACUAGAAAAAGUCCCAGCUUAUUUUCCACCUAACAAAUGAGGGACUUUGGCCAUCCCUAAGAAUGUGUUGUUGUUGUUUUGUAACUCGUGUUGCUGAUGGAGCCUUGUAGAUACAUGUAUUCAAGUUGGUGGACUUGGGGAGAGAUUUAUUGUCAUAUAAAACCUCCUGAGUUAGCGAUGCAGGAGAAGUUUGAUUCAGGUCACAUCUAAGUGCAAAACUAUGUAAAUAAAACUUUUUGAAACAAUAGGCAAACCUAAACGCAGCCAUCCUUUGACAUUCACACUUCUACAAAUUUUGCAAUGCAGUUGUCCAACCAAGUCAUGUGCAAGCAAAUGCAUACACUGGGAUAAAGCAUGCAUAAAAAUGCACAUAUUAGUGACAAUAACAUACGAAAAUGCAUCACAUUAGGGGAAAUGGUUUUGUGAAAAUGUUUUGUGAAAAUGGUAAAUUAGGAGAAAUUGCUAUUGAAUUUUCAUGAGGACUUUCUUUUUUUAAAAAAAAUCACAAACUGAUGUGGAAAUGCAGAGAACAGAAUUUAAGAUUGUGUUGUGUUUUAAUCCGCUUUUAGUCUAUCAUUGGUUUUAAUUAUUUUUGAAUGUAUUAAAUAGUGCUUUUAACUGCUUUUACUGGUAAUGAUAUUGUUUUAUUCUUUUUUAAAACUGAUCUAAGGUUUGUUCGUGGUUUUUUUUACUUCUAAGCAGUAUACAAAUUUUAUGAAAUUGAUAAAUUAAAUUAAUAUGGGGGGAAAUGAGAUGCUGAGAGAUUUGCCCACCUCUCACUCUGGUGAUGUGCUUGCAACUGUUUUAUUGUUGAACACAACCAAGUUGCAUCUUUUCGCUUUAGUUCCCAGUUACACAGUCCCAUCAACCCACUUAAACUGAUGUUUCAGCUUCCAGUGGCAGCUGAACAGUAUUUCUUGGGUUCAUUGGGUGGGGCUUCAUAAUUCUACGUGAUGUAAUGAAUUAUGCAAAAUGAGGAAGAAAUUUGUGUUAAACUUGUAUAAUUUAUUUUCACAGCAGAAUCCUUUAUUUAUUUAUUUGUGCAGAAUACUGAUUGACUUGGCGCAGCUUUCGUGUUGUAUUUUUAAUGCAAACUAAAUGCUUCUCUGUCUAUCCCUUUGCUCCUUAAACAUUCUCUUUACUUCUGCUCUUAGAUGGGAUUAUUUUGUGCAGACGGUCUCUUCCUGCAUCUGUGAAAUUUCCCAAAACACAUCCUGCCACUCUCCUUUCUUUAGCUAAAUGACAUUAGGCCUGCAAAUGUGCUUACUGCUCCUCCACACAGGAAUCUACUGCAUGCCGAUAAGAUGGAAGACCAGGAGGACACUUUAAAAGCCUUAAGAUGUUCUAAGCACUGAAAAUAACUCAUCAAAGCUUUGCCACUUAUAUAUUAAUAGGAUUGGAGAAGUGCAGAGGAGGGUGAGCUUCAGAUAGAAACCUGGAUGCCUGCUUUUGGAAGGAAAAAUACAAGCAACAGAAACUACUAAAAAAUAAAAUAAAACCCCAUACGUUUCAUAAGACAGAAGGUACACGUGAUAAGUUACAUGUGUCGUUAAUUUUUAAGUGAUCUGAGGAGUGGGGUGGCGUUGAUUCAUUUGUUUGCCAUGAGCUCAGAAAAGGAAGGCCAGUCAGGGAGGGGGGGGGAAUUGCAGCCAAUUUUUUAGGAUUUUAUUUCACUGCAGCAACGUAGCGUUUAAUUUUUAUUGUUUUGACUGCAGCAUGAACUGAGAUGAUGGAUUAGACUAGGAUGUGCUGGAUAUACUUUUGCAUAUACGAAUACACAAGGGAGACCAAAACUCAUCAAUAAUAUAAACAGAGAUUGAGGCAUCAGGGGCAGAAAAAUGCUUGAAGUGUACAACUCUUCAUGGCUUCCAUGAGAUACUUUGGGAUCCUUAUGGCAAUGUGAACAUUUUCAUGAAAUCGCCUCCUGCUCCUAUGUGACCUGCUCAGUUCAGACACAGGGCUGUAGCUCAGUGGCAGAGCAGCUGCUUUGCAAACAGAAGGUUCCAUGUUCAGAUUCCAGCAUCUUUGGGUCAGGCUGGGAGACACCCCUGUCCAAAUCUUAACAGUCAGUGAAGACCCUCCACCUGUUUUGAGACUACAGUUCCCAUCAUCCCUGGCCACUGGUUCUGCUAGCUAGGGAUGAUGGGAGUUGUAGUCUAAAAACAGCUGGAGACCCAAGUUUGGGAAACCCUGGUGUAGUUGAUACUGAAUUAGAUGGUCUAAAUUUGAUGGACUCUGUAUAAGACAGUUUCCUGCGUUUGUUUGUUCAUAAGAUUUCUUACCUGCCCUUCAGCUUAAGGUUCUAGGGCAGCUUACAACAAUAUAGUGUCCCAAAACAGAUAAACCAGUUAGAAUUACAAAAAGAAGUAAAAUCCUUGCAGCUAGAAAAGUGCAAAUUCAGCAGAGAGGUGGGUCCCACAAAACAAAAUACUUAACUGUCAGUGACCAGGGUAAAGGGUAAAAAGCUAUUUCCUAGGUCACCAUUCCCUGCACUUCUGAGGGCUGUGGCAAGAGAGCACCCUUUGCUAAUCUUAAUACCUGAGAACAUCAGGAGGGAUGGAGACACUAACAUGAGCACCUUGAAUUGAACCUGGAAACCAACUCGAAACCUGCACAGUUGUUUUAAAACAGGGAUUUUAUGAACCUCAACCAGUCAUAUAUAUGCAUAUGCACCAACAUUUCUCCGAUAAAAAUAGGGAUGCCCUAUUCCAUUAUAAUAUUCAUAAUAAUAUUUUUUAUAUUUAUAUAUAGCCCAUCUGACUGGGUUGCCCCAGCCACUCUGGGUGGCUUCCAACAUAUAUACAAGCAUACUAAAACAUGAAACAUUAAAAAACAUCCCCAUACAGAGCUGCCUUCAGAUGGCUCAGGGGUUGAAUGACUCCAUAAAGGUAAAGGUAAAUGGACCCCUGACCAUUAAGUCCAGUCGCGGACAACUCUGCAGCACACAGAAACACUGUUUACCUUCCCGCCUGAGCAGUACCUAUUUAUUGACUUGCACUUUGACGUGCUUUCGAACUGUUACGUGGGCAGGAGCUGGGACUGAGCAACGGGAGCUCACCCUGUCGCGGGGAUUCGAACCGCCAACCUUCCGAUUGGCAAGCCCUAGGUUCAGUGGUUUAGACCACAGUACCACCCGUGUCCCUCUUGAAUGACUCCAUACCUUCCAGCAUUUCUCUGAUGAAAAUAGGGACAUCCUAAGAAAAAGCGGGACAUUCCAGGAUCAAAAGCUGAGACAGCUUCUGUAAAUCCAGGGCUCUCCCUGGAAAAUAGGGAGAAUUGGAGGGUCUGUAUAUGGCUGCUCCAGUUUGGACCAGAUGAAGUGUCUGUUGCAAUUUCUUCACUUAUCUAAAUAGUUCUUUUCUUUUUGCUUUUUUGGAGCAAAUUUGGAGCUUACUAUCCACACCUUCAAUCAACUGUACAUGGGAGAAUAAGUGUGCUUUUCCCCAUCCACACCAAUGACUGGAUGCGCCCAGUGGGAAAAUAGUUCCAUUGGUAUACUCUGCAGAUGACCGGUUCAGUUGAACUGGGCUUGAAGCCUCAGGGUGCCAUAACUAUGCUGUAGAAUGGAAGGAGAGAGGCGGGGGCCACCAAAUCUUGGUGUCGCACAGGAAGCCACUGAAAUUUGAGACCCCAAGGUCCGCCACUGCUGCUAACCAGUAAAUGGGCUCAUUCCAAGACCCCAUUGCAUUUCUGGAAUUCUACCCCUGCAGAUUAGGAGAAUGGAAGGAAGGGGCUACUUGUGUCUGCCUGAGCUGUGAUGAACCUGGUUAUUGUGAUUAAAAUUUAUCUGCAGCUAAUGAUCACUGUCAUGGGCAAUAUGUUGGCAGAAUAUCAGCAUCUGUAUGCAUGACUGAGAAUGAGACAGCGGUUUCUCAGUCUUCUGUCGUGCCUGACAGAAAACAUGAUUAAAAACCUUCCACAGAGAAGGGGAUUGAUGCUCAAAUAGUUUUCACACAAAUGGAAAUUUUGAGGAUCCAUUCCAGAUCUGUCACAAAUGCUGGAUUUCUUUUUUCUUUUUUAAACGGGUCAUUCAGUUGAUAUCUAUGAAUGAUUACACUGGUCAACAACAAAUUUGUUGUCUGCGUUUUUUCAGUUGAUUUAGGAUGAAUAUGAUGCGCUGAACCCAAAAAUCACAUUAGUUUUGCUCAAUCAGGUCAAGUUUUUGAGCUAUGGCCACAUGUCUUUUUUUACGUUUAUGUUCACAUGUACACUUGUGUGGAGCAUUUUAGAAGAAGUUGGUGGGGAUAAAAUGCCACGUCGAAUAAUUGUUUUGAUUGGAAAUGAUUAUUUUAAUGACAAGAAGUAUUCAGGUCCGAUAGUUCUGGGUGAUUAUGUCAGAAAGGGAUCAGUUUGAAGUCAUAAAACCUCCAUUUUUUCUCGGAAGAGAAGGACUUAGUGUACUGUGCAGAUAUUGCGCAGCUUCUGCUCAAGCUUGGAGUGCCACAGUACGGACCCAAAGAUUGGAGACUGUUCAUUGACAGCAGCAAGCGAUCACUGAAAUGUGUUCUGCUACACAACGGCAACCAGUUUGCCUCUAUACCUCUGGCUCAUUCGAGUACACUGAAGGAGAACUAUGAAGCGGUGAAGUAUGUGCUGGAGAAAAUUGGUUAUGAUCAGCAUAAGUGGUUUAUUUGCGUUGACCUGAAGAUGGUGAACUUUUUGUUGGGACAACAGUCUGGCUUCACCAAGUACCCAUGUUUUCUGUGCAUGUGGGAUAGUAGGGACCGUGCUCAGCAUUACACGAAGAAGGACUGGCCUGUGCGGGAGGAAUUGGUGCCUUGCAAAAAAAAGGAACAUCAUCAACGACCCUCUGGUGGACAGAGACAGAAUACUCUUCCCACCGCUGCACAUCAAGCUCGGCUUAAUCAAGCAGUUCACCAAGGCUCUGGACAAGGAUGGUGACUGCUUCACUUACUUGUGCCAGGCUUUUCCAGGAUUGACCAUGGAGAAGUUGAAAGCUGGCAUCUUUGACGGUCCUCAGAUCCGUCAGCUCAUCAGAGAUCCAGAGUUCGGAAACUCAAUGAACGAAGUGGAACUGGAAGCGUGGAAGGCAUUUGUUCUGGUAGUGAAGAACUUUCUUGGCAACAAUAAGGCCAGAAACUACGCAGAACUUGUCAACAACAUGCUGACUGCUUUCAGAAACCUGGGCUGCAAACAUGAGUGUCAAGAUGCACUACCUAUUUUCACAUAUGGACCAGUUUCCUGAGAACCUGGGUUCAAUGAGUGACGAGCAGGGGGAGAGAUUCCAUCAGGACAUGAAAGAGAUGGAGACCAGGUAUCAGGGUCGCUGGGACGCAGCCAUGAUGGCUGACUACUGUUGGACUCUGAAGAGAGACCUCCGUGCCGCUGAGCAUUCCAGGAGUUCCAAGAAACGGAAGUUCAAGCCCUGAAGUUUGAAAAAUGGUGAAGCAACAUGCAAUUUACAUGUACUUACCUUUAUCAAUGCCCACCAUUCAGUUUACAAUAAACCUGACCUGAUGGAGAAAAACAGGUGCCAUUUCCUGAUUCAGCAGUGCAAAAAUACCCUAAAUCAGUUGUAGAAAUCUAGACAACAUUCAAAAAGUAAAAAAUUGUUGCCCAGUGUUAUUAAAAGCAUUUUUGUUUUAUCAAAGAGUUGCUGGUGUUGGGAGUUGCUAAUAUCAGUACAGUCUCCAGCCUACCUUUUCCCCCCCACUGAUGUUGUUUCAUUCUGGGGGUUUUCCUGUUUUAUAUUAUUUUAUCUCUCAUAAGCCGCAGCGGGAGCUGUGUGACUGAUGGAGCAGGUUAGAAAUGUCAGGAAUAAACAAAUAAUAUGUCAAAAUGACUUCAAGUUUGCAUUUGUUGCAAAUUGGCAGGGCAUAACGAAUAUAUAAUAAAAUGGAGCUUGGACUGUAAGUAAUGUUUCAUCAUCAACAGGAUUUUAAUUUAAUCUCCUGUCAUUUUGAGUCAGCUAACUAGUCUGUAUAUAUCUGUGUUUGCGUGUGUAUUCCUGAGAAAGCAGUGCUCAGAGACAAGUUUGCUGUUGCAAGCAGCGAGAAAGCAAAAGGGCAACACGGCCAAAGGCAUGGAAGCUGAAAGUGACUAUGUGGGGAAGUGGUUAAUUUCAGCCUUGCCUUCAGGAAAGGAUGAGUCCCAAAAUAUCACAUUUUAACAAGCAAUCUUUGGUAACUAUAUAAAGCUUCCAGGCACUUUGCCAAGGAGUUUGCUCAGAGGUCAAGUUGCAAGCAUUGCAUGCCUGAUUCUACAUAUUUCUGCAGACAGAACAGACACACACACACACACACAUCUCAAUGGCUAGAGGUUUUGACACAUGCGUGGCCCACCCAAUACUUAGGAAAGGGCCAUAGCUCAAUGGAGAACACAUGCAGGUGGUCCCAUCAUUAAUCCCUGGCAUUUCCAGGGAGGGCUGAGAGAUACCCCUGUCUGAAACCCUGGGGAGUUGCAACCAAUUAGCAUAGACAAGACUGAGCCAAAUGGACCAGUGGUGUGAGGCAGCUUCCUAUGUACCUUGCAUGAUUCAGAAACAGGUCCUACUGAUUCUUUGGAGUUAAUCCCCAGAUAAGUGUAUAUAUGGCUCCAUAUAUGCCCCUUAAGGGGGCAGAAAGAGCAGGAAUUAUUACAUCUCACCGCAAAAUUGAAUACUAGCUAUCGCUGCAUUUAAAAAAAGAGAACAUAUGCCAUCAAGGUAUAAUUAGGCAUUUACGCAUUUCGAUGUAUUGUUCUGUUUCUUAAUCAUGGCUGUGCAGAAAACUAGUUUGAAUCAUUUUCUUUAAAAAAUAAAACUGACUUUUUGCAAUAGCAUAUCCUUCAACAUUAGGGACAUGGGUGGUGCUGUGGUCUAAACCACAGAGCCUAGGGCUUGCCGAUCAGAAGGUCGGCGGUUCGAAUCCCUGUGAUGGGGUGAACUCCCAUUGCUCGGUCCCUGCUCCUGCCAACCUAGCAGUUCGAAAGCAUGUCAAGUGCAAGUAGAUAAAUAGGUACCGCUCCGGCGGGAAGGUAAACAAGAUUUCCAUGCACUGCUCUGGUUCGCCAGAAGCGGCUUAGUCAUGCUGGCCACAUGACCCAGAAGCUGUACGCCGGCUCCACGGCCUAUAGAGCGAGAUGAGUGCCGCAACCCCAGUCUCGAUCACGGUCUGACCUAAUGGUCAGGGGUCCCUUUUUAUCCUCCAACAUUAAUGUGACAAAAAUAGGGAUGGCAAGAAUAAGAAUAAGAAUAAAAAUAAGAAUAAGAAUAUCCCGCCCAUCUGGCUGGGUUGCCCCAGCCACUCUGGGCGGCUUCCAACGUAUAUAAAAACAUAAUAAAAUUGUACAGGAUUGCCUUCAGAUGUCUUCUAAAGGUUGUAUAGUUACUUAUCUCCUUGACUUGGGGGUUGCAUAACUCCACACCCUCCAAAAUUUAUCCGAUGAAAAUAGCAACGUUCUGAGGAAAAGCGGGACAUAUCAGGAUCAAAUCAGAAACCAGGACAACUUCUUUCUGUAAAUCUGCGAAUGUCCCUGGAAAAUAGAGACAACUGGAGUAGGAGUUUCUCCAUAAAUGUGAGCAUAGUUGCUCAGACAUUGAGUGCUGUUACUGCACCACAGAGAUGCACUUGGCCAUAAUAAAUUAUACAGCUGGAUUGGGAACACUUGUACCUUAACUAGGCCAUGGAGCUUUUAUCUGACUAUUUAGCUGCCUGGGUGCAGUGAAACAGUGACCCUCAUGUGGCCUUGGGAGACUCUGUAUGGUUGCCUUCUUCUGCCACUCUGCUGGAAAUAAUAGGCCAUGCAUAAUAGUUCCGCAGACAUAUGACAUCCAGGAAUCGACAGCCUGUUCUCUUUCUGCUCUGCUGCUGCAUGAGUUCAAAGCAAUAAAAGAAAAUUAGCUGUAGUGAAUACUCUUGUGUGAAUGUUAAGGUGGAAACCAAAUACUAGCUUAAGAUCCACAGUUUUAAUUCCUGUACUGUUGCCUGUUGCUUGACAAAAUGGUAAGUCCCCCUCAUAAGGAAUAGCUGGAUAUCAGCCACGAAACAUGUGAACCAUUUUUAGAAUAUGACAUUGUACUAAAAUAAAAAAUAAUUAGAUGACAGCUGGCAGAAUGGUGAAAGACUCUAUGCAGCUAACAGUUCUGUAAAUAAAAACGCUGAGUUGGGCCAUUACUUCCCUCGAUAGCAAGGUUUUGGGAAAGGGGAGCUAGGGCCUUUUUAACAACAAAUGUGCAACCAUAAAAAAUCUUUUCACUGAUAUCGUGCAGGUAACGUGAUGCUUUUGAUGCACAGCCUUCCUGUUUGAAGCAGCUGCCGUUCAAGCAGAGAGCAAAGGCAGACAGAAUGACCCCAAGUCAUGAACAAUGACUAGCAAAGAGUGGGCUGGAACAAUUCAAACAGUCUGCAGCAAGAAGGUUAUUAGCUGAGACUGUAAUUUUAUUGCUGCGUGGUGUCAUCGCUUGCUUCCUGCUGCAUGCAUUUCUUCCCCUCUGUUCCAGUCAGGUCACUUGUCUGGAUAACUCAAAGCUGAAUUAAGUGCACCAACCCAAAGUCCGAUUGCAUAUUGGAUAGGCAACCCAUUAUGUGCCAGCUGCAGCAGGUCCAGUGGGCAAUUGCCUUGCAAUCUGCAUUACAGGUGAGAGCGAUCGCAGAGAUGCUCAAGGUACUUGUGUUUGCACUGUGUCAGGAAAGAGCAUCAGCCCUGGGUUGCCCCUUCACCACACCCAUCUUCUUUUAAAAGGUAUGUUCAACUGAGGCCCAUUUGUUUUGCGGUCCUUCCAGCUCAACCGAAGAGAUAGAUGGAGACUCUGAAAAUGCGCCUUCUAUCAAGUUUGAGCAAAGCAGUGUUUCCAAGGCUGCUGGCACGUGUGACAUGCUCUCCCACCCUCCAAGCCCAUUAAAACAGAGAGACAACACACACACACACACACACACACACACAUAUAUAUAUGGAACUCCAAUUGUACAUGUAUUGCUCCCAGCGUACCUUAGGCUGAGAGAAAGUUAUAGGCCCAAAGUCAGGCAGUGAGCUUUACAGCUGAGUGUGAAUUUGAACUUACCACUCAAUUAGGAGAGCACACCAAGUCAUUCUUGGGUUGGAUAACUAAUGGAAGAGCCAUAGCUUAGCAUCUGUCAUAGACCAUUUCCAGGUUCAAUCCCUGAUAUCUCCAUGAGAGCUUGGGAUGUCCUCUCUCUGAAAUCCUGGAGAUCUAGUCAAUAAACACAAUAUUGAGUUAGAAGAUGGACCAAAGCUUUGACUGAGCAAUUUCCUGUGUCCUCCUGAGGUGGAAAGCAGGAUACUUAACAUGCCACCUGCACAUGAUAUGUUUUGGAAAUGAGGGGAGGAAAUCACACGAGGACUCAGCACAUCACAAGGUUAGUGUGCCACCCUUUCUCAGGCUGGUGUCCUCUAGAUUUUUUGGAUGUCAGCUCCCGUUAUUCCUGACCAUUGGCCAUGCUGACUGGGGCAGAUGGGAGCUGAAGAAGUUCAGCAGCAUCUGGACCAUGUCUCAUAUUUCCUAGAUUGUGUAGACAAAGCAAAAAUCACAACAUGGGAUAUUUCCCCUACGCAGCAUUAAUUCCAUAGCUUCACUCAAUUCAAUUAGAUGGAAAGCAUGGUGAGAGGGAGUGGAGGAGAGACAGCAUAGUCAGAUGAAAACUAAGUAAGAAAGAGAUGAAAUGAAGCCAAGUUAGAUACAUUUGUAGAGUUAAUAUUUUAAGUGCUAUUUGGUUUUCUGUUUGUGGCCUCUUCGAAAUAUCAAAACUUCUUUUUUUCUUUCUUUCUUUUUACAGCUUCCAGAAUGUAACAUUAUCAGAAAGGGAUUCAGUGCCAGCAAUUUAGAUUUGCCAGUUGCUAAAAUAUUUCUGGAAGUGCCACAGUCCAAGAUAGAGUUACAGGGUAGUUAGGGAUAUGGCUUACCCCUUCCAAGAAGAUGGUAGCUUGACUCAACUCAUUGCUCAAAGUCAUAAAAGGCACCUGCGAUGUUCUCAGUUAGAUUCCACUUUUUGGAACCAAAGGCCUCAUUUGAAGUUCAGAUCCACUGGUGGAGGGUAUCACUCCCUCUUUUCCUGUUAUUCAGAGAUGAUUGCCAUCGCCCAUGUAGCCAAAACACAACAACCCAGGCACAAAACAACCCAGCUAGGACCGAGAGUGCUUUGUGUUUACAGGAUGUUGAAUGACUGCUUGGGGCAGGGGCUAAAAACCAGGUAGGAGGAAGGAUUGAAUGGGGGGAAAGGUUGAGAGAAAAACAAUCCCUUUGUCUGGAUAGUUCAUUUCCUGAUUCACACGGAGGAGCUAUUUUUAAUGUUCCCAGGGGGAAAAAAGUCAAGGCUGUUUAUAAAAAUCAAUGGAG
This is a non-coding RNA of Podarcis lilfordi (Lilford's wall lizard), 28717 nucleotides long. Lineage: Eukaryota; Metazoa; Chordata; Lepidosauria; Squamata; Lacertidae. The record is from the annotation of a GenBank genome assembly.